Molecule: ribosomal RNA, 506 nt
Filed under: uncultured bacterium
Lineage: Bacteria
Description: partial 16S ribosomal RNA
Rfam family: Bacterial small subunit ribosomal RNA
Source: RNAcentral
AUUGAACGCUGGCGGCAGGCCUAACACAUGCAAGUCGAACGGCAGCACAGAAGAGCUUGCUCUUUGGGUGGCGAGUGGCGGACGGGUGAGUAAUGUCUGGGAAACUGCCCGAUGGAGGGGGAUAACUACUGGAAACGGUAGCUAAUACCGCAUAACGUCGCGAGACCAAAGUGGGGGACCUUCGGGCCUCACACCAUCGGAUGUGCCCAGAUGGGAUUAGCUAGUAGGUGGGGUAAUGGCUCACCUAGGCGACGAUCCCUAGCUGGUCUGAGAGGAUGACCAGCCACACUGGAACUGAGACACGGUCCAGACUCCUACGGGAGGCAGCAGUGGGGAAUAUUGCACAAUGGGCGCAAGCCUGAUGCAGCCAUGCCGCGUGUAUGGAGAAGGCCUUCGGGUUGUAAAGUACUUUCAGCGGGGAGGAAGGCGGUGAGGUUAAUAACCUCGCCGAUUGACGUUACCCGCAGAAGAAGCACCGGCUAACUCCGUGCCAGCAGACGCCGUAA